GACGAACGCUGGCGGCGUGCUUAACACAUGCAAGUCGAGCGGUAAGGCCCUUUUGGGGGUACACGAGCGGCGAACGGGUGAGUAACACGUGGGUGACCUGCCCUCAGCUCUGGGAUAAGCCUGGGAAACUGGGUCUAAUACUGGAUAUGACCUUUCCUCGCAUGGGGUUGGGUGGAAAGUUUUUCGGCUGGGGAUGGGCCCGCGGCCUAUCAGCUUGUUGGUGGGGUGAUGGCCUACCAAGGCGACGACGGGUAGCCGGCCUGAGAGGGCGACCGGCCACACUGGACUGAGACACGGCCCAGACUCCUACGGGAGGCAGCAGUGGGGAAUAUUGCGCAAUGGGCGGAGCCUGACGCAGCGACGCCGCGU
Molecule: ribosomal RNA, 369 nt
Filed under: uncultured bacterium
Lineage: Bacteria
Description: bacterial SSU rRNA
Rfam family: Bacterial small subunit ribosomal RNA
Source: RNAcentral